UUACCGGUUUGACAUAAAAGAGAUCCGCAAGGGACAGGUGGUGCAUGGCUGUCGUCAGCUCGUGUCGUGAGAUGUUGGGUUAAGUCCCGCAACGAGCGCAACCCUAUUUAUGUUGCCAGCAUAUGGGACUCAUGAAGACCGCCGGGGUCAAUCGGAGGAAGGUGGGGAUGACGUCAAGUCCUCAUGCCCCUUAUGCCGGGCUGCAAACACGCUACAAUGGGAUACAAGGGGCUCCGCGAGGUUGGCAAUCCCAAAAUCGUCUCAGUUCGAAUUGAAGUCUGCAACUCGACUUCAUGAAGCUGGAGUUGCUAGUAAUCCCGAUCAGCACGCGGGGUGAAUACGUUCCCGGGCCUUGUACACACCGCCCGUCACACCACGAAAGUCGGAAACCGAA
This 394-nucleotide ribosomal RNA is filed under the name uncultured bacterium. Its description in RNAcentral is "bacterial SSU rRNA". It matches the Rfam family "Bacterial small subunit ribosomal RNA", at positions 971 to 1425 of the family's 1533-position model. The record is from RNAcentral.